GGAGAGAAAAGAUACUACUCAAAGAAUGUUCAUUUUGCCCUUUGAUAUAUUGAACUAUGAUGAUGCUUGACAAUGAAACUUUUUAUGUCUUUAUAGGAAAGCCUCUCAUGGGCAAUAAAAGUAAGUUGCAUCUCCUGUUUUUUCCAAAAUCCAGUUAUGAUCACUGGUUCACUUGGUAUAUGCAGAAUUGGGUCGCAUGUUUCUAAUUUCUUUACCUUAAAUGUGAUUUAUUUUUACUCUUAUUUAAGAUAGAGGAAAGACAAAUAAGACUUCCUUU
RNAcentral lists this unclassified non-coding RNA (277 nucleotides) under Hevea brasiliensis (rubber tree). The record is from RNAcentral. Lineage: Eukaryota; Viridiplantae; Streptophyta; Magnoliopsida; Malpighiales; Euphorbiaceae.